GAUGAACGCUGGCGGCGUGCCUAAUACAUGCAAGUCGAGCGGACAGACGCUGAUCUUGCUCCUCUGACGUUAGCGGCGGACGUGUGAGUAACACGUGUAUAACGUACCUAUAAGACGGGUAUAACUUCGGGAAACCGGCUCUAAUACCAUAUAAUCUAUUGAACCGCAUUGUUCGAUAGUAAGAGACGGUUUUUCUGUCACUUAUAGAUGGAUCCGCGCCGCAUUAGCUAGUUGUUAAGUUAACGGCUUACCAAGGCAACGAUGCGUAGCCGACCUCAGAGGGUGAUAGCCCACAUGGGAACUGAGCCACGGUCAAGACGACUAAGGGAGGCAGCAGAAGCGAACCUUCCGCAAUGGGCGAAAGCUUGACGGAGUAAGGCCGAGUGAGUGACGACGGUCUUCGGAUCGUAAAACUGUGUUAUUAGGGAAGAACAAAUGUGUAAGUAACUAUGCACGUAUUGACGGUAACUAAUAAGAAAGCAACGGCUAACUACGUG
RNAcentral lists this ribosomal RNA (497 nucleotides) under uncultured bacterium. RNAcentral describes it as "partial 16S ribosomal RNA". It matches the Rfam family "Bacterial small subunit ribosomal RNA", at positions 28 to 507 of the family's 1533-position model. The record is from RNAcentral.